GAAGAGAAAAUUAAAAGCAAACGAAGAAAGAAAAGUAGAAGAAUAGUAAGACAUGAACUUUAAACUUGCAAAUUCAAACUUUCAAUCAACUCAUUAAUCCACUUUUGAGGUUCUGAAAAAGUAAUAUUCCACAAUCUACCAAGUUUCUAAAGUUCAAAAUAUUCAAUUUCCUUGACACAUAUUUCAGUAAUCAUUACACAUACACAAACAACAAAGUUACAUUCUAAAUCUUCGUUGUGAACUGU
RNAcentral lists this unclassified non-coding RNA (245 nucleotides) under Hevea brasiliensis (rubber tree). The record is from RNAcentral. Lineage: Eukaryota; Viridiplantae; Streptophyta; Magnoliopsida; Malpighiales; Euphorbiaceae.